AGCAACCUGAGCCCGCCGCUGCCACCGAAUGCCUCAGGCCUCCGCCAACCCGUCAGGAAGGGAGAAACCACGGGUCCCCAGGAAGCCAAAGUCAAGCCCUAGUGUCAACCUGCAUAUCCAUGCCUGCAUGCCCUUCUCUUGGCCAAGGAAAAAGGGAAGAAAGGAAAAGAAGAAGAAGAAGCCCAGAGGCCUAUAUCCCCUGAUUAAACACAGCCCAGCACUCCAGGCAGGCAUGCCCGGUGUGGCUCCUUGCACCAUUGACCUCAGGCCAGACACCUCUACACCGACAAUGGGAUCUAGGCCUCCGGCCAGGUUUGCCCAGGGCUGGGCAGGAAACCAGCCCC
Fukomys damarensis (Damara mole-rat) is the source of this 344-nucleotide long non-coding RNA. RefSeq lists it as uncharacterized. The transcript is spliced from 2 exons. The record is from RefSeq and is a predicted model, not a curated record. Lineage: Eukaryota; Metazoa; Chordata; Mammalia; Rodentia; Bathyergidae.